Molecule: ribosomal RNA, 328 nt
Filed under: uncultured eukaryote
Lineage: Eukaryota
Description: partial 18S ribosomal RNA
Rfam family: Eukaryotic small subunit ribosomal RNA
Source: RNAcentral
CCCUUAGAUGUCCUGGGCCGCACGCGCGUUACACUGAUGCAUUCAACGAGCUUAUAACCUUGGCCGAGAGGCCUGGGCAAUCUUGUUAACGUGCAUCGUGAUAGGGAUAGAUUAUUGAAAUUAUUAAUCUUGAACGAGGAAUUCCUAGUAAACGCAGGUCAUCAAUCUGCAUUGAUUACGUCCCUGCCCUUUGUACACACCGCCCGUCGCACCUACCGAUUGGAUGGUCCGGUGAAGCCUCGGGAUUGUGGUUCUUGCCGCUUUAUUGUGGCGUGACCGCGAGAACUUGUCUAAACCUUAUCAUCUAGAGGAAGGUGAAGUCGUAACA